RNAcentral lists this ribosomal RNA (755 nucleotides) under uncultured Oxalobacteraceae bacterium. Its description in RNAcentral is "bacterial SSU rRNA". It matches the Rfam family "Bacterial small subunit ribosomal RNA", at positions 28 to 776 of the family's 1533-position model. The record is from RNAcentral. Lineage: Bacteria; Pseudomonadati; Pseudomonadota; Betaproteobacteria; Burkholderiales; Oxalobacteraceae.
AUUGAACGCUGGCGGCAUGCCUUACACAUGCAAGUCGAACGGCAGCACGGGUGCUUGCACCUGGUGGCGAGUGGCGAACGGGUGAGUAAUAUAUCGGAACCUACCCAGUAAUGGGGGAUAACUAUCCGAAAAGGAUAGCUAAUACCGCAUACGCCCUAAGGGGGAAAGAGGGGGAUCGCAAGACCUCUUGUUAUUGGAGUGGCCGAUAUCUGAUUAGCUAGUUGGUAGGGUAAAAGCCUACCAAGGCGACGAUCAGUAGCUGGUUUGAGAGAACGACCAGCCACACUGGAACUGAGACACGGUCCAGACUCCUACGGGAGGCAGCAGUGGGGAAUUUUGGACAAUGGGCGCAAGCCUGAUCCAGCAAUGCCGCGUGAGUGAAGAAGGCCCUCGGGUUGUAAAGCUCUUUUGUCAGGGAAGAAAAGGUGAUCUCUAAUACAGGUCACUCAUGACGGUACCUGAAGAAUAAGCACCGGCUAACUACGUGCCAGCAGCCGCGGUAAUACGUAGGGUGCAAGCGUUAAUCGGAAUUACUGGGCGUAAAGCGUGCGCAGGCGGCUAUAUAAGUCAGAUGUGAAAUCCCCGGGCUCAACCUGGGAACUGCAUUUGAGACUGUAUGGCUAGAGUGUGUCAGAGGGGGGUAGAAUUCCACGUGUAGCAGUGAAAUGCGUAGAUAUGUGGAGGAAUACCGAUGGCGAAGGCAGCCCCUGGGAUAACACUGACGCUCAUGCACGAAAGCGUGGGGAGCAAACAGG